Molecule: long non-coding RNA, 1079 nt
Organism: Megalobrama amblycephala (Wuchang bream)
Lineage: Eukaryota; Metazoa; Chordata; Actinopteri; Cypriniformes; Xenocyprididae
Exons: 3
Source: RefSeq, a predicted model, not a curated record
AGAAAAUGUAAUAAUCCAGUGUAAUUGUUACAAAGCAGUUGAAAUUCGCUCUGGGAGAUAUAAUGUUUUUUGAAAUUUCAUUAUAAGUUUCUAUUUUAAAAAUAUUUUAGAUAAUACACACCUUACAUACUAAUGGGCUUCUAAAUUUUGCCACUUCUGGCUGAUGAUUAAGUAAACUUACAGUUGGUUUUAGUUCCCUUUUGUCAUCAAUCAAGCUAGCAUGCUUUAUUAAACCUCUCAUGCCCACUUAUCCAGACAUUUAAAGUCUUCGUGCUGGGGUCUGGAGCCGAGUACACUUGAUGGAUUAGGACAGACGUGUAGAAUGAUGGAGAGGAUAAGGGAGGCAGGGUUAUAUUUGGCCUGUCUAAACGAGCUUCAGUUGGGUGAGAGGAGAUGUGGAUUGCCCUCUGUGCCGAUUUGUCGUUCCAAUGUGGGGUGGUGGCGUCUCUCCAGGUCUCCGUUAUGUGCCACUGACUGCGGUAAUGAGAGUCGUUUAUAUUGUCAUUUGUUUACAAGGCUUGCAGUGACCAUGUCUGCCACUGCCAGACACGGACCAGAAGGAGACGUUAAUAUGAGGAUGCGGUUAUGUUGAGUCUGUGGCCGUGUCAUUAAAAAUGGACUCGCUUAACAAAGACAGAACAAUCCCCUUGGAAUGACCUGAGUACAAGUGUCUGGACCAACAAACUUGUUUCAUUUCAAUUCAGGAGCCACACCCCACAGGAAAUUGAAUUGGAAUGACAGGAAGAGAAAUGUAUUCAACUGCAAGUCAACAUUCAGCACAGAGUCGAGGGCCAGCUCGCUGCGGCAGUUAUCAGAGCGAUUGUCCUCCCGUCCAAGUCUCCAGCAGCGCCUUCAGGCAUCUGGCCGUGUCGUCCCCGUGUCCUCACAAAUACCCUUCUACAACACCAGAUGUUUCCACACACGGCGCUGAUAGAUAGACCAACCGAUAGAUUGUAACUUUGCAGAAAUACAUUUUCACUAAUGAUCGUCCAGCCAUUCAUCUGUGACCCUUUUAUUCAGUCUGAGUACAGUAGCAGCAAAGUAUUUAUCCUGUUUCAUAAAGACCCAAAACACUUUUA